This 2644-nucleotide long non-coding RNA is filed under the name Homo sapiens (human). RNAcentral describes it as "HSALNT0387341". The record is from RNAcentral. Lineage: Eukaryota; Metazoa; Chordata; Mammalia; Primates; Hominidae.
CGCCCCUCCCCUGUGUCUUGCGCGCGGGCGCGGCCACUCAGCGGGCGCUCUGCUGACUGAGAGGCUCGGCAAGCAUGAGAGUGAGAGAGCGAGUGAGCAAAAGAAAUGACUAGUGACCAGUUGAGAAAGUCCUGUCUUCCAUUGAGCCAUUUCACUCCUGCCCAUCUACUCUCAACUGCUCAAGAGCCGCUGAACCCUCUGAACACUGUGAGGAUCAGAUGAGACAACGUGUGUGAAAACACCUUACAAAUACAAAGCUGUGAAGAUGUAAAGGAUGGUUAUUACAGAAUGGAGACGGAGUUUCAGUCUUGAUGCCCAAGCUGGAGUGCAAUGGCAUGAUCUCGGCUCACCACAACCUCCGCCUCCCAGGUUCAAGCGAUUCUCCUGCCUCAGCCUCCCUAGUAGCUGGGAUUACAGGUGAUGAGUACAGAAUCAUGGAAUAGCAGCUGUGGAUUAAGAAGAGUGAACAGGGCUGGGUGCGGUGGCUCACGCCUGUAAUCCCAGCAGUUUAGGAGGCCAAGGCGGGCAGAUCACCAGGUCAGGAGAUCAAGACUAUCCUGGCUAACACGGUGAAAUCCUGUGUCUACUAAAAAUACAAAAAAUUAGCCAGGUGUGGUGGCAGGCGCCUGUAGUCCCAGCUAAUCGGGAGGCUGAGGCAGGAGAAUGGUGUGAACCCGGGGGGCAGAGCUUGCAGUGAGCCGAGAUCGCACCACUGCACUCCAGCCUGGGUGACAGAGCGAGACUCUGUCUCCAAAAAAAAAAAGAAGAAGAAGAAGAAGAGUGAACAUACGUGAAUUGAGAUUGGUGUUGUGUUAAAUGAAACAAAGAAAUAAUUUGACAUAUAUAUAAUAUAUUUUUUCAGCUGGAUGAAUGAUUACUAUACAUAGAUGUUAAUUGAUUCAUGUAAAUCACCAGGGUUACAGUUUAUGGGAGCCUUUUAAAAAUAAGUGCAAUUACAUAAUGACCAAGUCUGUAGGGAGGUCUUACCGCCUUUAGAAAAUCAUCCUUCCUUUCAUUCCUGAAUAAGUCACUGCAUUUUGGCUACUAUUAUUUUACCUGUCCGUACCAUGUAUAGUUACUGAUAUGGUUUGGGUCUGUGUCCCUGCCCAAAUCUCAUGUCAAAUUAUAAUUCCCAGAGUUGGAAGUGGAGCCUGGUGGGAGGUGAUUGGAUCGUUGGGGCAGAUUUCCCCUUUGGUGCUGUUCUCAUGAUAGUGAGAGAGUUAUCAUGAGAUUUGAUCAUUUAAAAGAGUGUAGCACCUCCCUCCUGUCUCUCUUCCUUCUGCUCCAACCAUAUAAGAUGUAUUUGCUUUCCCUUCAUCUUUGUCAUGAUUGUAAGUUUCCUGAGGCCUCCCCAGCCAUGCUUCUGGUAUAGCCUGCUUAACUGUGAGCCAAUGAAACUUCUUUUCUUUGUGAAUUAUUUAGUUUCAGGUGUUUCUUUAUAGUGAUUUGAGAAAAGACUAAUACAGUUACUGACAGAAUAGUAUCCCCAUUCACUAUGUGAGUAACUCUUCUUUAAAUGUUGUGGUUUCAUCUAGAGAUUUAUCUUCUGACCCACCAAGGACCAAACCAUGAAUGUAGGGAAUGGGGUUUCAUUUAAAGGCGGCACUGUGAAGUCAGGUAUUUCUGUCAGUCUUUCUGUCAGCACUUUAGGCAAAGCAAAUUGGAAGUGAACUGAACAGAUGGGACCUGUUAAGAGAGACCCUUAGGAAGGUCUCCAGGUGGGGCCGCAAUCCUUAACAUUGCCAUAUAGCAAAUUCUUCUUCUCUUGGUAAUAAAUAGACUAACAGACCAUGAUUAUUUUUCUUAAUCAAAGAACCAAACUCCUAAGCCUUUUUUUAAUAGACAGCCUGCUUUAUAUCUACACUGAUGAAGAAAAUAAGAAAUAUCUAAUAAAGCUUAAGAUGUAUAUCUGCUUAUGCUUAAAGCCUGUUUAUUUAGAAUACCUCUGCCUGCUAGCACUUUUUAGUAGGUAUGUCUGGAGAGAGAUUGGUGAGAAACUCACUCCUUCCUGUCCAAUAUAAGGCAGAACAAAGGUGUGACUGGGUGUCAAUGUCACUGUGGGUUUUCAAUUUCUGCUGAUAGAAAUGUAAAACUUUCUCAGGAGUCUUGGUUUUACAUGCUGGGAAACCCCCUUCCAACUCAGUCCUCAUAGAAACUUACCGGUAGGGGUGAAACUUUUUUCCAAACUCCAUUUCACUCCCUAACUGAGCAAUACCAGGUUUACAUGAUUAGAAAUUCCCAUCUUUAGGCAAAAAUACUGGAAGCAGUAGAAUAAUACUGAGAUAUUGUUUUGCAUUGCAUUUGACAGGAAAUAAGAAACAUGUGAGGUCCUUUUAUGAGUCUCUAUCUUUUGACAUUCUGAAAUUUCUUCCUUAUCAUGAUAUUAAGAAUUAAAGAACACUUUCUGCUGAAGAUGAGAGAUAGAUUCCUAAUUUUGUAAUAUCGUAGAACUAGCACUAAUGCCAGCAGUCUCAGAUUAGUCUUAAAUCACUAACUCUUUUGGGGGAAUAAGGAUGGGGAUAUUCUUAUUGUAUAAGAAUCUUGGGGGUCAGGGGGUUUAUGUAGCUAUUGUGCUGGACUGUAUAAGCUUGACUGCUUUUACGCAUCUUGCACAAAGUGAAAUAAUAAAAUAAUUUUGAAAAUU